CACUCCUGCGGGAGGCAGCAGUGGGGAAUUUUGGACAAUGGGCGAAAGCCUGCUCCAGCAAUGCCGCGUGAGUGAAGAAGGCCUUCGGGUUGUAAAGCUCUUUUGUCAGGGAAGAAACGGUGAGAGCUAAUAUCUUUUGCUAAUGACGGUACCUGAAGAAUAAGCACCGGCUAACUACGUGCCAGCAGCCGCGGUAAUACGUAGGGUGCAAGCGUUAAUCGGAAUUACUGGGCGUAAAGCGUGCGCAGGCGGUUUUGUAAGUCUGAUGUGAAAUCCCCGGGCUCAACCUGGGAAUUGCAUUUGAGACUGCAAGGCUAGAAUCUGGCAGAGGGGGGUAGAAUUCCACGUGUAGCAGUGAAAUGCGUAGAUAUGUGGAGGAACACCGAUGGCGAAGGCAGCCCCCUGGGUCAAGAAUGACGCUCAUGCACGAAAGCGUGGGGAGCAAACAGGAUUAGAUACCCCAGUAGUCCCAUGAU
RNAcentral lists this ribosomal RNA (476 nucleotides) under uncultured organism. Its description in RNAcentral is "partial 16S ribosomal RNA". It matches the Rfam family "Bacterial small subunit ribosomal RNA", at positions 334 to 801 of the family's 1533-position model. The record is from RNAcentral.